This 225-nucleotide ribosomal RNA is filed under the name uncultured bacterium. Its description in RNAcentral is "partial 16S ribosomal RNA". It matches the Rfam family "Bacterial small subunit ribosomal RNA", at positions 524 to 748 of the family's 1533-position model. The record is from RNAcentral.
UACGGAGGGUGCAAGCGUUAUCCGGAUUUACUGGGUUUAAAGGGUGCGUAGGUGGGUAGGAAAGUCAGUGGUGAAAUCUUCGGGCUUAACCCGGAAACUGCCAUUGAUACUAUUUAUCUUGAAUACUUUGGAGGUAAGCGGAAUAUGUCAUGUAGCGGUGAAAUGCUUAGAUAUGACAUAGAACACCAAUUGCGAAGGCAGCUUACUACACAGUUAUUGACACUG